Molecule: long non-coding RNA, 277 nt
Filed under: Brassica rapa (field mustard)
Lineage: Eukaryota; Viridiplantae; Streptophyta; Magnoliopsida; Brassicales; Brassicaceae
Description: long non-coding RNA (BRAP_LNC005759)
Source: RNAcentral
AAUAAUUGAAGAGAGAAGAGUCGUAAGAUAUUUUACAAUUUGUUUGUCCGAAAUGUGAUUGAUAGCUAGAUAUUUUACAAAAUAUUGUUCCCUGCUCAGAACGUAAGGUGAUGAGUGCUCGACGCCUGAGGACCAUGGUUUCCUGUUCAGAUUCAGAUAUCCAUUAAAAUACUACCGAUGUUGUAUGAAUAUUUUCCUUCCACCGUAUUUCGUCCAUUAAAUCCCAGAGUUAUUUCACUUGAUGUACAUUAAUAGUGACUUAUCUAGGUAACUAAGC